RNAcentral lists this ribosomal RNA (497 nucleotides) under uncultured bacterium. RNAcentral describes it as "partial 16S ribosomal RNA". It matches the Rfam family "Bacterial small subunit ribosomal RNA", at positions 28 to 507 of the family's 1533-position model. The record is from RNAcentral.
GAUGAACGCUGGCGGCGUGCCUAAUACAUGCAAGUCGAGCGAACAGACGAGGAGCUUGCUCCUCUGACGUUAGCGGCGGACGGGUGAGUAACACGUGGAUAACCUACCUAUAAGACUGGGAUAACUUCGGGAAACCGGAGCUAAUACCGGAUAAUAUAUUGAACCGCAUGGUUCAAUAGUGAAAGACGGUUUUGCUGUAACUUAUAGAUGGAUCCGCGCCGCAUUAGCUAGUUGGUAAGGUAACGGCUUACCAAGGCAACGAUGCGUAGCAGACCUGAGAGGGUGAUCGGCCACACUGGAACUGAGACACGGUCCAGACUCCUACGGGAGGCAGCAGUAGGGAAUCUUCCGCAAUGGGCGAAAGCCUGACGGAGCAACGCCGCGUGAGUGAUGAAGGUCUUCGGAUCGUAAAACUCUGUUAUUAGGGAAGAACAAAUGUGUAAGUAACUAUGCACGUCUUGACGGUACCUAAUCAGAAAGCCACGGCUAACUACGUG